This is a non-coding RNA of Schizosaccharomyces pombe (fission yeast), 1012 nucleotides long. The record is from the annotation of a GenBank genome assembly. Lineage: Eukaryota; Fungi; Ascomycota; Schizosaccharomycetes; Schizosaccharomycetales; Schizosaccharomycetaceae.
AAAGACGGAAAAAAUUUUAUUCAAAUUCUAACAAGAAUGUAGUAAACAAUGAUUAGGUGGUGCAACGAUUUACACUAAACCACUUUCAAAUCAAAGCGUUAAGUGAUUGUGAACGUAUAAAUAAAAAAUGGGAUGGAUUGAAUUUGGAUUAUAUGUUUAAAUAAUUAAGUGGAAUUUAACUAAAAAGUACAACAACAAUAUCAUGAGACGAUCUAACUGUCAAGAAAAGAAAAGGAACAUUUUUAAUGAUUCGGUAACAACCCAAAUUCUUCUAUAAAAAAACAGGACUUUUAACAGCAGCCUUUUCUUUUCGUUUUAUCCUUGUUUUCUUAGCUUCGUCUUCAAGUUAAGGUCCUCAAUGGGCCAUUGAUGAAUAGUAAAUCAAAAGAAAGGAGGGAAUAAAGGGGGGAGCUGCAUAUAAACCACAGCGUAUCACAACACAAUGAAUGAAUGGUGAGAUGGCACGCAUUUGCAUAAUUGACACUGAGACUGACAUUUGAAGUGCAAAUUACGCUUGCAUACGACUUUGGAUACUUUAUGCUUAUAACUUGUUGGUUAAUAGUCGUCCGUUAAACUUUUCUCUUUCUCUGUCAAUUUUUUUCCUCUUGUUUCCUUAUUUCCUGUUCCCUUCUCCCUAAUGGUUUUGGAAGAGUAAAAGAAAUAGGAAACUAGAAAAACCAAAGACGUACUUGACUUGUUGAAACUUAUAAAGGAAAAUAAUAACCGCAAGUAUCUCCCGUGCUAAGAUCAAGUUGGUGUUACACAAUAUUAUACAAAAAAGAACCAUCAUUUAAUUUAUCCAUACAUUGCAUAAAUGAACCUGACACACCAAGCACACGUGUAUAUAACAGGUAAGCAAACGGUAUAUAUAUACGAUACAUAGAUAUCCAAUACAUAUACACCUGUCCACUAAAUAGCAUGAAAAAGGGACAACAAAAACAAAAAAAGAACAAGAGAAAGGAUAAAAAAAGAAGAUAAAGAAAGGAGAAGUAAAUAAAAAUAAAGUAAAAAG